RNAcentral lists this ribosomal RNA (369 nucleotides) under Monacha martensiana. RNAcentral's name for it is "partial 16S ribosomal RNA". It matches the Rfam family "Bacterial large subunit ribosomal RNA", at positions 1947 to 2619 of the family's 2925-position model. Lineage: Eukaryota; Metazoa; Mollusca; Gastropoda; Stylommatophora; Hygromiidae. The record is from RNAcentral.
UGUGCAAAGGUAGCAUAAUCAAUUGGCUUAUAAUUGAAGUCUGGAAUGAAUGGGAAAUUGGGGUUUUACUGUCUUACUUAGAUUGCUAGAAAUUACUUAAUAAGUGAAAAUUCUUAUAAAUAGAAAAUAGACGAGAAGACCCUAGAAAUUUUAAUAUAGAUUACAUUUUUGUUGGGGCGACAAGGUAACAUAUAACUUACCUAACUAUAUGGGCAAUUUUUAAAUGGGGUAAACAAAUUACUCUAGGGAUAACAGCAUAAUAUUAUAAAGAUUGUGACCUCGAUGUUGGACUAGGGAGUGUGUUACUUAAAAGGUAACAUAAUAGGCUCUGUUCGAGCUUACACCCUACAUGAUCUGAGUUCAAAUCGA